AGCUCCAACAGAAUAUAUUAAAGUCGCUGCAGUUAAGAAGCUCGUAGUUGGAUUUGUGGAGCGGCCAUCCGGCGCGGCGCCAGCACUUCGUAGCAGGUGAUCGCUAGUCCCGGCUUCGCGGCCGCUCCUUUCGCGGGAAGCGAGUGGCUGGCACUAGGUUGUCGGCCGCUUCGCGCCCGUCUUUUACUGUGAGAAAAUUAGAGUGUUCAAAGCAGGCUUAGGCCGUGUUGGGUACAUCAGCAUGGAAUAAUGAGAUAAGGCCGCGGUGGUCUUUUCUGUUGGUUUGCCCACACGCCGCAAUGAUUAAAAGGAACGGUUGGGGGUAUUCGUAUUCAACUGUCAGAGGUGAAAUUCUUGGAUUUGCGGAAGACGAACUACUGCGAAAGCAUUUACCAAGGAUGUUCUCA
RNAcentral lists this ribosomal RNA (407 nucleotides) under uncultured eukaryote. RNAcentral's name for it is "SSU rRNA". It matches the Rfam family "Eukaryotic small subunit ribosomal RNA", at positions 587 to 972 of the family's 1831-position model. The record is from RNAcentral.